This 916-nucleotide ribosomal RNA is filed under the name uncultured bacterium. Its description in RNAcentral is "bacterial SSU rRNA". It matches the Rfam family "Bacterial small subunit ribosomal RNA", at positions 246 to 1155 of the family's 1533-position model. The record is from RNAcentral.
UUGUUGGUAAGGUAAAAGCUUACCAAGGCUUCGAUCAGUAGCUGGUCUGAGAGGACGACCAGCCACACUGGGACUGAGACACGGCCCAGACUCCUACGGGAGGCAGCAGUGGGGAAUUUUGGACAAUGGGGGCAACCCUGAUCCAGCCAUGCCGCGUGAGUGAAGAAGGCCUUCGGGUUGUAAAGCUCUUUCAGCCGGAACGAAACGGUUACGGAUAAUACCCGUGACUACUGACGGUACCGGAAGAAGAAGCACCGGCUAACUACGUGCCAGCAGCCGCGGUAAUACGUAGGGUGCAAGCGUUAAUCGGAAUUACUGGGCGUAAAGCGUGCGCAGGUGGUUUUGUAAGUCAGAUGUGAAAGCCCCGGGCUCAACCUGGGAACUGCGUUUGAAACUACAAGACUAGAGUGUGGCAGAGGGGGGUGGAAUUCCGCGUGUAGCAGUGAAAUGCGUAGAGAUGUGGAGGAACACCGAUGGCGAAGGCAGCCCCCUGGGUUAACACUGACACUCAGGCACGAAAGCAUGGGGAGCAAACAGGAUUAGAUACCCUGGUAGUCCAUGCCCUAAACGAUGUCAACUAGUUGUCGGGCCUUUACGGGCUUGGUAACGUAGCUAACGCGUGAAGUUGACCGCCUGGGGAGUACGAUCGCAAGAUUAAAACUCAAAUGAAUUGACGGGGACCCGCACAAGCGGUGGAUUAUGUGGAUUAAUUCGAUGCAACGCGAAAAACCUUACCUACCCUUGACAUGUAUCGAAGCCCGCAGAAAAGCGGGGGUGCCCGAAAGGGAACGAUAACACAGGUGCUGCAUGGCUGUCGUCAGCUCGUGUCGUGAGAUGUUGGGUUAAGUCUCGCAACGAGCGCAACCCUUGUCAUUAAUUGCCAUCAUUUAGUUGGGCACUUUAAUGAGACUGCCGG